GUCGACUCGGGUCCUGCUGCUGGGGUAGUGCGGAGGUGGCGUGCGUUAAGUGGAAUGGCUUGGCGGAAGGCGUGCGUGGGGGGAUGGGGCAGUCAGCCGUGAAAGCCCCGGGCUCAACCUGGGAACGGCGGUGGAGGCGGCCCGUCUCUAGGGGGCGAGAGGAUCGUGGAAUUCCGGGGGUAGCGGUGAAAUGCGUAGAGAUCCGGAGGAACACCGAUGGCGGAGGCAGCGAUCUGGGGCCACACUGACGCUGAGGCACGAAAGCGUGGGGAGCAAACAGGAUUAGAUACCCCUGUAGUC
This 300-nucleotide ribosomal RNA is filed under the name uncultured Ignisphaera sp. Its description in RNAcentral is "bacterial SSU rRNA". It matches the Rfam family "Bacterial small subunit ribosomal RNA", at positions 496 to 795 of the family's 1533-position model. The record is from RNAcentral. Lineage: Archaea; Thermoproteati; Thermoproteota; Thermoprotei; Desulfurococcales; Desulfurococcaceae.